This is a transfer RNA of Gasterosteus aculeatus (three-spined stickleback), 72 nucleotides long. It matches the Rfam family "tRNA". Rfam says of the family: Transfer RNA (tRNA) molecules are approximately 80 nucleotides in length. Their secondary structure includes four short double-helical elements and three loops (D, anti-codon, and T loops). The record is from Rfam. NCBI's taxonomy places the organism in Eukaryota, Metazoa, Chordata, Actinopteri, Perciformes, Gasterosteidae.
UCCCUGAUGGUCUAGGGGCUAGGAUUUGGCGCUUUCACCGCCGCGGCCCGGGUUCAAUUCCCGGUCAGGGAA